RNAcentral lists this ribosomal RNA (1116 nucleotides) under Triticum aestivum (bread wheat). RNAcentral describes it as "partial small subunit ribosomal RNA". Lineage: Eukaryota; Viridiplantae; Streptophyta; Magnoliopsida; Poales; Poaceae. The record is from RNAcentral.
AUGGAGAACGUCGCGGCGGUUCCUGACGCUGCUGCCAUUAGCGAGGAAGCGAGGAACGGAAGGAACCGCGGGGCGAGUUUAAGAGUUGGCGGGGGUGGCUUCGCGCGUCCGUUGCUAAAGCAACCUCAGAUGAGAGAAAGAAUGGAAGUUUUAUUGGAGCAAGUAAGAGCAAUAAUAAAAGAGUCAAAUGGAAUACAAAAAGUAAUGGAGCUUAUACUCUCGCUUGAACGACUUGGCUUGGACUACCACUACGAGAAUGAGAUCGGGGAACUACUGGAUGUCGUUUUGAACUCUGAUUAUGAUGAUAAUAAUCUACAGUUGGUUUCACUUCGAUUUUAUCUUUUGCGGAAAAAUAGAUAUGAUGUCUCAUCUGAUGUAUUCAAUAAAUUUCAAGACAAACAAGGAGAUUUCUUUCAAUCAGAUACAAAUAGUUUAUUGAGCUCAUAUAGUGCAGCGCAUAUGAGGACCAAGGGAGAGAAAGUACUUGACAAGGCAAUCUAUUUCACUAAAAAACACCUCCUUGGCACGUUAGAACAUUUGGAAUCACCAUGUGUAGAGGAAGUGUAUUUUGCCCUUCUUACACCUCCUUUUAGAAGGGUUAGGAUAUUAGAAGCAAGAAGCUACAUACCUUGUUAUGAAAAAGAGCCUACACGAAAUGAAGCCAUAUUGGAGCUUGCAAAAUUGAAUUUUAAUAUUCUGCAACUUCUUUUCUGUGAGGAGUUAAAAGAGGUCACCUUGUGGUGGCAGAAACUCAAGGUCGGAUCAAAUUUGAGUUUCGUAAGAGACAGAAUAGUAGAAACUUAUUUUUGGAUAAAUGGAACUAGCUACAAUCACAAAUAUUCUUAUUCCCGUAUUAUAGCUACAAAGAUCACUACUUUCAUGACUAUAAUAGAUGACAUAUUGGACACCUAUGGUAGCACUGAAGAGAGCAUGCAACUUGCAGAAGCAAUUAAUAGGUGGGAUGAAGGUGCAGUAGAUGUGCUUCCAGAAUACAUGAAGGAUAUCUACUUAUAUUUGUUGGAAACAUUUCGUUCUUUUGAGGAGCAUUUAGGACCUGGGAAGAGCUACCGUGUUGUUUAUCUUAAAGAAUCGGCAAGUAUUAUAUUUACCUCAUAA